UACGUAGGGGCCGAGCGUUGUCCGGAGUUAUUGGGCGUAAAGCGCGCGCAGGCGGCCUCGCGCGCCCGACGUGAAAGCCCCCGGCUUAACCGGGGAGGGUCGUUGGGGACGGCGGGGCUUGAGGGCGGGAGAGGUCGGUGGAAUUCCCGGUGUAGUGGUGAAAUGCGUAGAGAUCGGGAGGAACACCUGUGGCGAAGGCGGCCGACUGGGCCGACCCUGACGCUGAGGAGCGAAAGUGUGGGGAGCGAACAGG
This 253-nucleotide ribosomal RNA is filed under the name uncultured bacterium. RNAcentral's name for it is "partial 16S ribosomal RNA". It matches the Rfam family "Bacterial small subunit ribosomal RNA", at positions 524 to 776 of the family's 1533-position model. The record is from RNAcentral.